Molecule: long non-coding RNA, 3310 nt
Organism: Cuculus canorus (common cuckoo)
Lineage: Eukaryota; Metazoa; Chordata; Aves; Cuculiformes; Cuculidae
Exons: 3
Source: RefSeq, a predicted model, not a curated record
UGAAGGUAGCCCGGAUUCUAGACCAAACAGUCUGGCUAAAUCUGUCUAUUUUUAGAUAAGAUUAUAUCAGUUAUAGAUUCUUCUUUAAAACACAUGUAAAUAGCUUUCAGCUUACUAUCUUUAGGGUUUUUUAUCCCAUUCAGCUUUUACAAACACAUUUACCCUUUACUGAAAUAUUUGAUUUACUUCUUGAAAAGAGGUGUGUGGACCUGUGAUAAAGUUAGGAAUUAAAAGGAUUUGAAGAAAGCUUAUUUGCAAAGAGCUGGUGUGACUGUUUCUUAGAGCUUUUAACUAGUAUUUGUAUAAGUAUGUUAAGCACUUCAUAAUCCACAUCAAAAGAAAAGUUCCUGUCCAAUGCAUUUAGGCUGGCAUUCAUCCCACUGCCGUUUAAAUACUGAAAUGAUUUGCUGGUCAUCGGUAUCUGCUGUUUUGCUGUUGAUGCUUUAUGGAAGCUGAAGAGAAUAGACUGUUCACUUCCAACAUACACUCCACGUGUGGAUUAUACUGAACUUGCAACUGCAGCUUUAAGCCUCAGUUGAAUAUCUAAAGCCUGGGGAGAUUAAUCUGAGUGUUCUAUGAGAUGGACAUUCAAAGUGAAGAUAAAAAGGAUGACUCUUCAACAUCUCCUUCUUUCCUGUUCUAAGAAAAUCUGACUGAUUAUUGGAAGUGAUUUUGAGCAUCCUUUGAGUGAAUGCUCUGGGUUCAUCUUUAAACACCUCAGCUCAGCGCUGCUUAGGCUGCUACACAGGGAAUAAAGGUAACCUUCGGUAGCCCUUUACUAAGUUGUUUCUCACUCUCUGAGACAGUGGAUAUAAAACUCUAGUGACUCAUUCUAUCCCACUGGAUCUUUAUUGAUUUUGUUAUAUGUAAUACUUCCAUGCAGUAUAACACAAUUACAAAGAAAAAAAAGGAUUGUGUGAAGGUUUUUGUUGAAGUCCAUUCUAUCAUCUCCUCUGAUCUUUCUUAUUACUGGACCCUUCUGUGAGCACCCACUAUAUGUACCUAUUAGUAAGUUCUCCACUGGGAACUAAGUAUACACAUGGAAAUAAGUUCCACUGUGAGCAGCCAAAAUAAUUGUUUUAUUCAUUGUGUCAUUAUCUGUGUUUAUAUCGCUUGCUCAUUCUUUUUUUUAUCUUUACAACAGUACUUUAAAUUCUUCUGCGUAUCCUCUUAUCAAGCUCUAUCGCGGUUCUCAAGCCCGUCUGGAUCUACCUGAAUGCUGCCAAGCCAACCAUUAGAUGUAUACAGAUUGCCCAGUUUGUUGCUACAGUUAAGUAGUUCCUGCUUUUGUAUUCAUAAGGGGUCUAAUUUGACUCUCGCUCCUCUACCUGGCCACCAGCUUGACUGGUUAUCUUUACAAGUCACAUCACAGAUGUGUAACUAGAAAUCAGUGCUGCCAUUCACUGUAUUGAUAACUGUUGCUUCUUCAUAGUGAGGAGUUCUUGACAAGAUGCAGUGAAUCAAAAAGUAAAACCAAUGCAUUUAAUGUUGUGGCGUGUUCAAGUUAAAUUAAGUCUUUCCUACUGAAUCAGAAACUGCAAAUAAGCUUCCCUGCUUAAUCAUGUUUUGUAUCUUUCCUGACAUUUUGAGAGGGGCACACAAGUGGUGUGCAUGUGAACCAGAAAAGGAGCACCAUCUAGUGUUUAAAGAAUCAUGCUGGAGAAUGAAAAGCAUAUAAAACAUUGCCCAUCAGUUAAAAUAGACCGUGUAAUCUAUUGGCUGACUUCUUUGCAUAUAAGGAAAGAAUUUAUUCUGGAAAUGUAAUACUGUGAUGUUCUUCAUGGACAUUGUGGUGACCGAGAGACAAGGGAAUGUAGAACAACGUGUCAGACUGCAUCAGAAACAAUAAUUUGGGGAAAGUUUUUGCCUGUUUGUCUCCAUUGGUUAAAAUAAAACCUCUGACCUCCAAAGAAUUUAUAUAAUAGUAGGUGCAAACCAUUCACUCUUCAAAAUAAUGCAAUACUGUAUGCAGGUACUAGACAUAAACAGAGUAUAGCAGAGUGACAGUAUUUAUCAAGGCAGUGACAGUCACAAAUAACAUUCUGAAAGAACCUGCAAAAUAUUUGUUAAAUUGGAAUAAAAGUAACUGUUUAGCCUGUAUCUCAGCACGCAGGUUUGGGCUGGCACUGUGUGGGAGAGGGCUUGAAGGGAGACUGUUGUCUGUUGUCCCACUGUUCUGAAAAACAAGAACCAGUAGUUCAGUGUAAGCUCUGAAAAAUUCUGGGUUCAUCUCUAACUGAACCCUUGUAUCUCAGAAGAUACCAGACAAGAGACAAGAUCAUUUUUGCUUUCUGUUUUGUGAAAGGAAGCAGUGUACGCUCUCAGCCGUUCUAAUUUUGGAGCUAUGAUCUCACAUUGUCCAAAAGCAGAGUCCAGAUGUGCUGCUUCUAAUUAGUUGGUGUUUCCUGCACUUCUGUAAACAUGACAAUGUGAGCCUGACGUAUACACUUGCUGUACUCUCUCUGCCUCCAUAUCCAGUGAUGGACUCUUUCUCGCAUAUUCACUCUUCUUUUAGAAGAAAAGAUGAACUUCUUCAAGAAGUGUGAAUAUUCAUUGUAAGAUAAACCCAUUCCAAUUGUAAUAAGUUAGACCAGUCUCUCCUGUUUCAAGGAGGUGACAUCCAGAAGGGAGGACUGGAAGAAUUCUGCAAUCCUUUCUGUCAACAUCAAAGUGGAACCCAUGGACAACCACAUCGGAUAAUCAGGUGCGUUAAUAUGCUUCACAUCCUUUACACAGUACAGAAUGACAGUAUUGUCUGGCAGAUAUGAAUGACUUUUAAUUGAGAAAUAAAUCGAGGUAUUUGAAAAUAAGGACAGAGCAAGGAGCUCUGGGGAUUUUAGGAUUUCUGGAUUAACCUCAACUUUUAAACUGUCAGAAUUCAGUCAAAUGAACCUAGCUCAUAAAUAAGCAUAAUCCGAAUUAAAACACCACUGUAAUGACGAUUUUGACAGCAAAUCUUUUGUGCUUUGUUUAAAAUUGAGAAUGAAAAGCCGAAUGUCAUUAAGCACAGAAUUCUCUCCUCCAGUUUUCGGAUGUUUAUGCCACAUCAGACUCUUUUCUGGUUUGCACCCAGACCGUUAAGACAUGUUUGAUGGAAACAGGAGUCUGCUGUUCCAAACACAAUGAGAAAUAGCAUGAAAUGACCGUUACCUCCUUGGGGGCGGCUCCAUCUCUUUACGGUGAAGCUUUCUAUUACACAAUCUCUCUGUUAUUAACACUAGAACUUUCCUAGAGUCCAGAAUACGAAACAUAAACAUACAAACGGUUUGACCGGGGCCAUUCAUAAGUUUAAAAAGUGGAAGAUACAGCU